Molecule: ribosomal RNA, 477 nt
Filed under: Mycobacterium sp. MZ-10699
Lineage: Bacteria; Bacillati; Actinomycetota; Actinomycetes; Mycobacteriales; Mycobacteriaceae
Description: bacterial SSU rRNA
Rfam family: Bacterial small subunit ribosomal RNA
Source: RNAcentral
GACGAACGCUGGCGGCGUGCUUAACACAUGCAAGUCGAACGGAAAGGUCUCUUCGGAGAUACUCGAGUGGCGAACGGGUGAGUAACACGUGGGCAAUCUGCCCUGCACUUCGGGAUAAGCCUGGGAAACUGGGUCUAAUACCGGAUAGGACCACGAGACGCAUGUCUUGUGGUGGAAAGCUUUUGCGGUGUGGGAUGGGCCCGCGGCCUAUCAGCUUGUUGGUGGGGUGACGGCCUACCAAGGCGACGACGGGUAGCCGGCCUGAGAGGGUGUCCGGCCACACUGGGACUGAGAUACGGCCCAGACUCCUACGGGAGGCAGCAGUGGGGAAUAUUGCACAAUGGGCGCAAGCCUGAUGCAGCGACGCCGCGUGGGGGAUGACGGCCUUCGGGUUGUAAACCUCUUUCACCAUCGACGAAGGUUUGGGUUUUCUCGGACUGACGGUAGGUGGAGAAGAAGCACCGGCCAACUACGUGC